Molecule: long non-coding RNA, 1307 nt
Organism: Marmota flaviventris (yellow-bellied marmot)
Lineage: Eukaryota; Metazoa; Chordata; Mammalia; Rodentia; Sciuridae
Source: RefSeq, a predicted model, not a curated record
UCUACCUCCAUUGCCUCCUCUUCCCAGGCCUGGCUCUGAAAGACUCCAGACCAUGCCCCACCUCUCUGCCUGAGGCCCUGCCCUCCAUCUCCUCUGCUUCUGCAGGGUGCAGGGCUGAGGAAGUGAGUCUACUCAGCUGCUCAGAGAAAGUGCUGCCUCUCCCUGCAUAGGGUGGGGCAGCUGCUAACUUGUUCCAGGGCUUUUGAUCACUCCCUUCUAUAGGCCUCCCCAGUCCCAGCUGGGACCACAGGCCCUGAAGGAAUGCCAGGGGGGCAAGGCUGCUACCCUCUUCCUCUCAAAGAAGUUCUCCCUCCCAAGUAUGGAUUUGCAUUUCCCCCUCUGUCUUCUGCUACCCAAGCCCCAAGGGAAGAGGUGACAGUUAAACCCCCACUUCCGGCUCCUGGCCCCAGAGGGCUCACUUCCUUCCAGGCCACUCCUCGACUUUUCAGCUCCCGCACAAUUCCUGUGGCAAGAAAAGAAACAGCUCUGUGAGGGAAGAUACAGUAGGCGAAGAAAGGUCCUUAUCUGACACCUGAGAGGGGAGCUAUAAGCAAACUGGAGUUCCUAGACUGCUCAUCGAUGAGUCCUGCUUUGUUGGAUUCUUACCAAUGAAGAUCCAGGCAAGUCCUGGCAAACACUGACCAGGAAAUCAAAGAAGAAAUGGAGCUGGCCCACCUUAAAAGAACUUCAGCAAGUACUUAAUAGUACCUCCUUAGCCCCCAGAGAAAAUGAUCUUCUGGCUAUUAUUUUGAGGAAGAAGAUCUAGCCACUCAUUAUGCUUCUCUCCCUUCCAUUUCUCCCCAAUGGACAAUUUUGCCAAAGGAAAACUCUUCUUCUAGGACUUCUUUAAGGCAACCAGCACCUCUACCAAAUCUUCUGGGAGAAGCAAAAGAAUUGUGCAGUGUGAGGAAGAGAGCCAAAGCUCCUCCUGACCCUGGGGAAUUCUUCAUACAAAGCACCAGCUCUCUGGUGUGUAGGCAGAGCACAGGCAUUUGUGUUUAUCUGAAUUGGAGCUUCAGGAUAUAAAUAGUUUCAGGCCCUUCUGUUCUAUCCUUGCAGCUGGCCUCCUUAUUGAAACAGCUUCUUCAAGGCAGACCUGCUUCUUGUUGCCUGCUUCUGUCCCAUGCUGUGUCCAGAUGGGAUCUGUGACUGGGGUCUGGUUGUUUUCUGUUUCUGAAUGUUCCCUGAACACAUUUUUACUCUGCUGUCUUGUGUACACCCUAUAUUGACUAUGAAGUAUGCUCUUUCUAAUUUUUUUUUUUUUUAGUUGUAGCUGGACACAAUACUUUUAUUUAUUUUUAUGUGGU